UACGAAGGGGGCUAGCGUUGCUCGGAAUCACUGGGCGUAAAGGGUGCGUAGGCGGGUCUUUAAGUCAGGGGUGAAAUCCUGGAGCUCAACUCCAGAACUGCCUUUGAUACUGAGAAUCUUGAGUACGGGAGAGGUGAGUGGAACUGCGAGUGUAGAGGUGAAAUUCGUAGAUAUUCGCAAGAACACCAGUGGCGAAGGCGGCUCACUGGCCCGUAACUGACGCUGAGGCACGAAAGCGUGGGGAGCAAACAGG
This 253-nucleotide ribosomal RNA is filed under the name uncultured bacterium. Its description in RNAcentral is "partial 16S ribosomal RNA". It matches the Rfam family "Bacterial small subunit ribosomal RNA", at positions 524 to 776 of the family's 1533-position model. The record is from RNAcentral.